Molecule: ribosomal RNA, 253 nt
Filed under: uncultured Comamonadaceae bacterium
Lineage: Bacteria; Pseudomonadati; Pseudomonadota; Betaproteobacteria; Burkholderiales; Comamonadaceae
Description: partial 16S ribosomal RNA
Rfam family: Bacterial small subunit ribosomal RNA
Source: RNAcentral
UACGGAGGGUGCAAGCGUUAAUCGGAAUUACUGGGCGUAAAGCGUGCGCAGGCGGUUUUGUAAGACAGAGGUGAAAUCCCCGGGCUCAACCUGGGAACUGCCUUUGUGACUGCAAGGCUAGAGUACGGAAGAGGGGGGUGGAAUUCCGCGUGUAGCAGUGAAAUGCGUAGAUAUGCGGAGGAACACCGAUGGCGAAGGCAACCCCCUGGGCCUGUACUGACGCUCAUGCACGAAAGCGUGGGGAGCAAACAGG